RNAcentral lists this unclassified non-coding RNA (351 nucleotides) under Microbotryum sp. RNAcentral's name for it is "partial contains 5.8S ribosomal RNA, internal transcribed spacer 2, and large subunit ribosomal RNA". The stretch from base 1 to 52 matches the Rfam family "5.8S ribosomal RNA", at positions 103 to 154 of the family's 154-position model. Lineage: Eukaryota; Fungi; Basidiomycota; Microbotryomycetes; Microbotryales; Microbotryaceae. The record is from RNAcentral. RNAcentral also lists the same sequence under 2 other names.
AACGCAUCUUGCGCUCGCUGGUAUUCCGGCGAGCAUGUCUGUUUGAGUGUCGUGAACUCUUCAACCCCCAAUUUUUCUGUAUGGGAAUUUUGGCGCGGCUUGGUUUCUGAACGUUUCAUGCUGGAUUCUACCCUCGGGUGGAAUCGAAGCUCGUUCGUAAUGCAUUAGCAUCCUAAUCUUCGAGAUCAGAUUGACUCGGCGUAAUAGACUAUUCGCUGAGGACAUGGCUCCCCGUCAAAAAGGGAGUUGUGGCUGGACUUGGAAAGCUGGAAGCUUACAAAACCCGACAAUUUAGUCAAUCAUUUUUUAAGAUUAGACCUCAGAUCAGGCAGGAUUACCCGCUGAACUUAA